RNAcentral lists this long non-coding RNA (1212 nucleotides) under Olea europaea subsp. europaea. The record is from RNAcentral. Lineage: Eukaryota; Viridiplantae; Streptophyta; Magnoliopsida; Lamiales; Oleaceae.
GGGGGAAUUAUCUACCCUUUUUACACAAACUGCAUGAAAAAUUGAAAUUUAUGAUAUUUUGGUGCUCUCUUUCUUUCUUUCUUUCUUUUUUUUUUUUUCCUUCCAGUUAUAAAUUAGUCCUAUUUAUCAUCCAUUCAUCCUCAACACAACUACAAAUUCGGGAUUUCAUGUCCAAAUAAAUAGUGCUCUUUCAUAGCCAAUUCUAAAAAACGCACAAAACAGAAAUGGUAGUGAAAGCAUAUUUCCAAAGCUAACUCAGUUACAACAAAUAAAUCAUCGAUUAAUUGACAAAAUCAUGUGGAAAAUUAGGAGCUAGAAAAAGAAAAUUCAAGAACCCAAAAACUUGCCCUAUUAAAUUCAAGCAACAUUAAUUAUUCAUUAAAUCUUUUCCAUCUCGCCUUUCUACACUCUAACCAGAUAUAAAGUGUGAAAAAUAUGAAAUUUCCGAAACGAGGUGCCUUUAAUUCCCCAAGUUUUCUUGUUUUCUUUAAAAUAUGUCCUAAUUAUCAGUAAUUACUCAAAACCACUGCAAAUUCAGGAUAGAGCCAAAUAAACAGUACUUGAAGCAUAAUUUUUAAGCUGAAUCAACUAUAAAAAACUAAUCAGCAAUUAAUCGGCAAAACCUCACGAAAAACAAUUAUUUAGAGCAAGAAAAUAAAAAGGCAAACUCAAGAACCCAAAACUAUAACUGUAAAUUUAAUCAAUUUUCCAUACUUGAGUGAUUAAGUCUGGCAUCUUGGAGAGCAGAAAACUUCUUAGUUGAAUGAACUCCAGCAGCCCAGUAAUCAAAAUCCAUUUUCCCUACAGUUUAAAUCAAGAAAUAGUAGCAAUUCACUAAAACAUACGCACUUUUUUUAAAUUGGAUUUACAGAAUGAACAAGAAAAUUAAUUUUCAGAUAGAACUUGAGUACAGUUUAGGAAUCAUAAUCAAGGGGCUUCACCUUCUACUUUUGCCGUCGAAUCUUUGGUGGAAAUGUAGACUGGAAGGACUGCUGCCGACUGCCGCAUCUCGAGAAGUUCAAGGACUCGAAGGUGCUGUGUGACCUGCGUCUAGGGCCCGAAUGUCGGAGGCCGGUGGUCAGUGGUGGAAGGCGGCGAGAUGGAGAGGAGGAGAGACGGGAGCCGCCGGUCGCGAAGGGUGGGAGUAAAAUUCGUGGUUUGAGGAGUCCAUUAAUGGUCCAAAAAGAAAAGGCUUUUUUUGCAAAGUUUUAU